GGGUUGGUAGCUCAGUUGGUAGAGCACCGGACUUUUAAUCCGUUGGUCCCGGGUUCGAGCCCCGGCCAGCCCACCA
RNAcentral lists this transfer RNA (76 nucleotides) under Eoetvoesiella sp. RNAcentral's name for it is "tRNA-Lys". It matches the Rfam family "tRNA". Rfam says of the family: Transfer RNA (tRNA) molecules are approximately 80 nucleotides in length. Lineage: Bacteria; Pseudomonadati; Pseudomonadota; Betaproteobacteria; Burkholderiales; Alcaligenaceae. The record is from RNAcentral. RNAcentral also lists the same sequence under 3 other names.